This 458-nucleotide ribosomal RNA is filed under the name uncultured bacterium. RNAcentral's name for it is "bacterial SSU rRNA". It matches the Rfam family "Bacterial small subunit ribosomal RNA", at positions 447 to 907 of the family's 1533-position model. The record is from RNAcentral.
GGGACAAUACCCCCUAUGAUGACGGUACCGUUUGUAAGCUCCGGCUAACUCCGUGCCAGCAGCCGCGGUAAUACGGGGGGAGCAAGCGUUGUUCGGAUUUACUGGGCGUAAAGGGCGCGUAGGCGGCCAGCACAAGUCAGUUGUGAAAUCUCCGAGCUUAACUCGGAAAGGUCAACUGAUACUGUGCGGCUAGAGUGCGGAAGGGGCAACUGGAAUUCUUGGUGUAGCGGUGAAAUGCGUAGAUAUCAAGAGGAACACCUGCGGCGAAGGCGGGUUGCUGGGCCGACACUGACGCUGANGCGCGAAAGCCAGGGGAGCGAACGGGAUUAGAUACCCCGGUAGUCCUGGCCUUAAACGAUGAAUGCUUGGUGUCUGGGGUUAUAAAGUCCCCGGGUGCCGUCGCUAACGCUUUAAGCAUUCCGCCUGGGGAGUACGGUCGCAAGACUGAAACUCAAAGG